CUUUGGAGGAAAGGUAGGGGAUCGCAAGACCUUGCGCUUUUGGAGCGGCCGAUGUCUGAUUAGCUAGUUGGUGAGGUAAAGGCUUACCAAGGCUUCGAUCAGUAGCUGGUCUGAGAGGACGACCAGCCACACUGGGACUGAGACACGGCCCAGACUCCUACGGGAGGCAGCAGUGGGGAAUUUUGGACAAUGGGGGAAACCCUGAUCCAGCCAUGCCGCGUGAGUGAAGAAGGCCUUCGGGUUGUAAAGCUCUUUCAGCCGGAACGAAAAGGUUACGGUUAAUACCUGUGACUAAUGACGGUACCGGAAGAAGAAGCACCGGCUAACUACGUGCCAGCAGCCGCGGUAAUACGUAGGGUGCGAGCGUUAAUCGGAAUUACUGGGCGUAAAGCGUGCUGCAGGCGGUAGCAAGUCAGAUGGAAUGACACCCUCAAGCAUAGGG
Molecule: ribosomal RNA, 442 nt
Filed under: uncultured bacterium
Lineage: Bacteria
Description: bacterial SSU rRNA
Rfam family: Bacterial small subunit ribosomal RNA
Source: RNAcentral